Molecule: ribosomal RNA, 325 nt
Filed under: uncultured eukaryote
Lineage: Eukaryota
Description: partial 18S ribosomal RNA
Rfam family: Eukaryotic small subunit ribosomal RNA
Source: RNAcentral
CCCUUAGAUGUUCUGGGCCGCACGCGCGCUACACUGUUGCAUUCAACGAGCCUAUCCUUGACCGACAGGUCCGGGUAAUCUUUGAAUCUGCAUCGUGACGGGGAUAGAUUAUUGCAAUUAUUAAUCUUCAACGAGGAAUGCCUAGUAGGCGCAAGUCAUCAGCUUGCGUCGAUUACGUCCCUGCCCUUUGUACACACCGCCCGUCGCUCCUACCGAUUGGGUGUGCUGGUGAAAUGUUCGGAUCGGCCGUUUGUCGCGGUUUCCGCGUCAUGUGGCUGAGAAGUUCAUUAAACCCUCCCACCUAGAGGAAGGAGAAGUCGUAACA